Molecule: ribosomal RNA, 414 nt
Filed under: uncultured bacterium
Lineage: Bacteria
Description: bacterial SSU rRNA
Rfam family: Bacterial small subunit ribosomal RNA
Source: RNAcentral
AGCGAACGCUGGCGGCAGGCUUAACACAUGCAAGUCGAACGGGCGUAGCAAUACGUCAGUGGCAGACGGGUGAGUAACGCGUGGGAACGUACCUUUUGGUUCGGAACAACCCAGGGAAACUUGGGCUAAUACCGGAUAAGCCCUUACGGGGAAAGAUUUAUCGCCGAAAGAUCGGCCCGCGUCUGAUUAGCUAGUUGGUGUGGUAACGGCGCACCAAGGCGACGAUCAGUAGCUGGUCUGAGAGGAUGAUCAGCCACAUUGGGACUGAGACACGGCCCAAACUCCCACGGGAGGCAGCAGUGGGGAAUAUUGGACAAUGGGCGCAAGCCUGAUCCAGCCAUGCCGCGUGAGUGAUGAAGGCCCUAGGGUUGUAAAGCUCUUUUGUGCGGGAAGAUAAUGACGGUACCGCAAGAA